This 492-nucleotide ribosomal RNA is filed under the name uncultured bacterium. RNAcentral describes it as "partial 16S ribosomal RNA". It matches the Rfam family "Bacterial small subunit ribosomal RNA", at positions 29 to 507 of the family's 1533-position model. The record is from RNAcentral.
AGUGAACGCUGGCGGUAGGCCUAACACAUGCAAGUCGAACGGCAGCACAGUAAGAGCUUGCUCUUACGGGUGGCGAGUGGCGGACGGGUGAGGAAUACAUCGGAAUCUACUUUUUCGUGGGGGAUAACGUAGGGAAACUUACGCUCAUACCGCAUACGACCUACGGGUGAAAGCAGGGGAUCUUCGGACCUUGCGCGAUUGAAUGAGCCGAUGUCGGAUUAGCUAGUUGGCGGGGUAAAGGCCCACCAAGGCGACGAUCCGUAGCUGGUCUGAGAGGAUGAUCAGCCACACUGGAACUGAGACACGGUCCAGACUCCUACGGGAGGCAGCAGUGGGGAAUAUUGGACAAUGGGCGCAAGCCUGAUCCAGCCAUACCGCGUGGGUGAAGAAGGCCUUCGGGUUGUAAAGCCCUUUUGUUGGGAAAGAAAAGCAGCAGGUUAAUACCCCGCUGUUCUGACGGUACCCAAAGAAUAAGCACCGGCUAACUUCGCG